CCCAUGGGUUCGCGGCGGAGAGGGGCCGCGCGACACGAAGAGGUCGUUGAGUCGCGUGGGUUUUAAAAGGCAAAGGCUUCAUCCUCCUCAACCGUGUCCCCAGAUCCAGAGACGGGAAACGAAACGGCGAUUGCGAUCGCGAUUAGUGACCUCUCCGUCGAUAGCGAGUUAACCGGCCGUGGAUUUCCAGUGGUGAGCUGUGACGGUGCGCAGCGGGAGACCAAAGCCCUGCAAAGCUAGAUUGCAUACUGUUGGGUCAAUUGGCUAACAGCUCUAGAUAGAGGUUUCACAAUGGAUAUUUCUUGGGAUGAUGGGAUAAGGUUAUGGUCCCUCAUGUGGAAAAAAGAACAGAUGAUGGCUAAGAAAAGGAGGUUACUGAUGGGACCAGUAACUUCACUGGAUGGGCAUAUAAAGAGAUGCAAAAAACCACAAAUUGCAACAAACUUGUACUUGCCAGAAUAUUAUGUUAGGAAUGAUGAAGUCACCGCUGAUUAUGUAAGAACAGCUAUUGAAAGAAGUUUCUCAUGUGAUGGUAAAGGCAACAAUCAAAUGAUUCAAGACUAUUUACAGCUUGUUCACAUGCAUGUUGAGAAAAAUAAAUGCAAUAAUGGUCUCCAAGUGAAGCAAAAACAAAAUGCAGUAAGAAACAAAGAGAAGUUUGUUCAUGAAACUCCUACCUUUCAAUUUUGCCUGAAGUCUAUUAACAAUAUGUUGGAAGCACUUGAUGAAAUGUCCCAUCAGGAUCUUACUGCAACAAAUAGGAAACUUAGAAGUGUAUCACUGAAAUUAAAAUUUCCACUCACUCGCUUUACUGGAAGCAGGGAAUUGCUUAUUGAGCGAUUAAAGAAAAAGUUCCAAAAGUUUAUAUCAAAACUUAGCGAUGGGGAUGCAUUGCCAGAACCUUUAUUCAAUGCACUCUCUGUGAUUUAUUUGUCUUUCAUGCAUAGAUCCCGGCAUAUUGAUAUGGUAAAAUCAAAGUUUUACCCUUUCUCACCUGAUGUAGCAGCUUUGCAGAGCAAUAUUAUAAAAGCACUUGGGGUGCUUCCAAAAGUUAAAAAUGAUGAAUUGAAAGAUAUACAUGCCUUACUGGAUCCGGAAGCUAAAGUUCCUCCAAGACGUUUCAAGUGUGCACUUCGGAAUUACUUGAUAGAGUACUUGUUUGAAUGCAAUGAAAUAGAUAUCACACAGGAGUUAUUAAAUAUCAUUCAUUUAAUAAACCAAAGGAUGCAUAGUCAGACUGUUACACUCUCUACAAAGACAAUAGAAGAGGAGGUUGAAGUUGUAAUGGUUUCCAGCUGUCACCUUAAUCAAAUUAUGUCAAGCCCACUUUCAGAUCAGAGUGAUGAUGAGAAUCUUUUACAUGGGUUUGGAAAUAAUGAAAGUGCGGAUGCUUUUAGUUUGGCUGGAACUGAUUAUUUCUUGUGUCUUAGUGAAAAUGAAGAUGGGGAGGUAUAUGGGUGUUGCUCUAACUUUGAAGCUGGAGCUACUGGGCAAGCCACUCCUAGUACAGAUCUUUCCUUUCAAAAAGUGGUCACUGAGGAAAUUAAUCUGAACAGUAAAGGAAGUCCUGCAUUUGAGCAAGAUGAUGUAGAUGAGGAGAAACCUUGUCUUGAAGAAGCUGCAAAUUUUGGUCUUGAUAGAACUACCCAAAACUCAAAAAGCUUGAGACUCAAAUCUAAUCAAGAAGUUUGUGACGAGACAUCACUGGUUGCUUAUAAAUUGAUUGGCUCGAUACUUGAUAACUUACUAAAAACUGAAGGCACAGUUGUAGAUUUGUCGACAAGAUGCUACUUAAAUGGUGGAUUAUCAGAUCCUGCAGAUUUGUCAGAUGCUGAAGGCGUGCUGAACACUUCAAAAAUAAAUUAUGAGCGUCAUAUGCUUGUUCAAACUGUUGAAGAGCUAGUACCUUCCUUGUCGAAGAGUUGUAUUAGAAGAAUGAAGAAUUUCAUGGGUAUCUGAUUCAGUUUCUAUCCCAAGGAUAAUUCAAGGAUGCAAAAAAAAGUAUUUGGUGGAAAACUUUAAUUCUUUGGUGUUCCUGUUGGCACGCUGCUAACAGCUUUUGCUGUCCCUAGAGCCAAAGCAAGAGUACAUUAUGAAAAUUUUCAUCUUGGCUAAACAGAAUACUUUCACUGAGCAUUAUCCUUGUCUAUCAUGAGAAUCUUAGAAGAUUGGGUGGAAACAUGUUUGUUGUUUUUUCAAAUUUGCCAGGGCAAUGGUAAAUGCAGCAAGAAUUUGUGCUUGAAGAUCUUGGCAAUAAAUAAUAAAAAAAUGUUGAAAGAGCAAAGCAGCUGGUCCAGAAAGAACAAUGCAUCAAAGAGUGCUCCUUCACGCAACUUGGAUGUUAGAAUUCUUUGGUAUUUGGAUGAUACCCAAUCCCUGGUAUUAUCUAAGCUGGAUGAGCAUCAUAGUAAUCCACCUUGAUCCUCCUGUCAUUUUUGUAGUCUGCAUGAUCACUCUUUUUUUUUUUUGAAACAUUGUAGUUUUUUUGCUAUAGCCUAUUCAAAUGAUUGCUUCUUUUUUUCCCUUGUUCACUGCUGGUGUAAAGAUAGCAUAGAAAUAAGCUAAAGAGACAGGAACUUAUCAUGAACUUGAAAUAUCAUGCCUGUUUCUUGUGUCAAUGUACUCAAAAUAGGUCUUUAUUUCGAAAUAGGAGAAAGAAACAUAAACCCUGAGAUGAAUAUAGAAGUUAACUUUGGGUUGCUGUUCAAAGAUAAUCUUGCUGUGCGAAUAACAUACCUAGGGCUCUUAAAUGAGUAAUUUUCCCUUAUCAGUUUCUUACCAUUUAGCUUGUUGGGUGUUUAAAUAGUUCCAUCAAGUCCACUUCGAGGGGAGGGAAUGGCAACUGCAGAAAAAGGAUGUAUGGUUCUCUCUUUUGUAGAAGACUUUCUAGCUUUCCAAGCUUUAUAUCCAAACCACUUCCUUGAAAUGGCUUGCAAAAGAUCCUUUAGGCAUGUUUGAGAUGAGGUGGGCAUAGGUUUCAAUGAAAUUGAGCUCAGAGGGGGGCUCAUGACGGAUGUGCAGAAUCAAUUGUGUGUGUAGGCGAAGGCAAGGUCAUGACAAAUUCGACCUAGCUUAGCUUGGUGACACUUUCUAUUUGAUAUUUGUUUAGAACCAUCUAACGUUGAUAGUAGUUUGACUGUAUUAGUGGACCGCAUCUAAAUGUUCAACGCCCCAAUUGAACUUACUCACUUGACCAUGCUUUGAUGGCCUGAUAUGUUUGGUGUAAAUUGAGCAAAGAGAGAUUUAGUAAAUUGAAUGAUAGGUGAUCAAAUGAUAAAAUGAAAUGA
Molecule: RNA transcript, 3287 nt
Organism: Zingiber officinale
Lineage: Eukaryota; Viridiplantae; Streptophyta; Magnoliopsida; Zingiberales; Zingiberaceae
Exons: 9
Source: RefSeq, a predicted model, not a curated record